This 34-nucleotide ribosomal RNA is filed under the name Xanthostemon chrysanthus (golden penda). RNAcentral's name for it is "partial 28S ribosomal RNA". Lineage: Eukaryota; Viridiplantae; Streptophyta; Magnoliopsida; Myrtales; Myrtaceae. The record is from RNAcentral.
ACGCGACCCCAGGUCAAGCGAGGCUACCCGCUGA